Acanthosepion pharaonis is the source of this 112-nucleotide non-coding RNA. The record is from the annotation of a GenBank genome assembly. NCBI's taxonomy places the organism in Eukaryota, Metazoa, Mollusca, Cephalopoda, Sepiida, Sepiidae.
UUACGGUCAUACCAAGUUGAAGCACCGGUUACCGUACGAUCACUAAAAUUAAGCAACGUUGAGCCUGGUCAAGACCUAGAUGGAUGACCGCUUGGGAAUACCAGGUACUGUA